AUUAGGCCCCUAGGAAGUCGCUCCUGCCUCAUGGUGGCAGUCGCACUGAUAAGGGCGCCAAUAAUAACUCUUUUACCGACGGUCGCUGUUCAGUUGACCCGUAGCUGUAUCAGCAACAUUAAGGAAAAGUACAUUU
Clupea harengus (Atlantic herring) is the source of this 136-nucleotide small nucleolar RNA. Lineage: Eukaryota; Metazoa; Chordata; Actinopteri; Clupeiformes; Clupeidae. The record is from RefSeq and is a predicted model, not a curated record.